Molecule: ribosomal RNA, 373 nt
Filed under: uncultured bacterium
Lineage: Bacteria
Description: bacterial SSU rRNA
Rfam family: Bacterial small subunit ribosomal RNA
Source: RNAcentral
AGAGGAGCCAAGCGUUGUCCGGACUGACUGGGCGUAAAGGGCACGCAGGCGGUGCGACAAGUGGUGUGUGAAAGCGCUCGGCUUAACCGAGCGAGGCCAGGCCAAACUGUCGCACUGGAGCCAUGCAGAGGGUGGUGGAAUUGCCGGUGUAGUGGUGAAAUGCGUAGAGAUCGGCAGGAACACCAAGGGAGAAGUCAGCCACCUGGGCAUGUGCUGACGCUGAGGUGCGAAAGCGUGGGGAGCGAACUGGAUUAGAUACCCAGGUAGUCCACGCCAUAAACGAUGGACGCUCGGCAUCUGCGCGCUAUCAACGCGCGGGGGUGCCUCAGCUAACGCGUAAGCGUCCCGCCUGGGAACUACGAGCGCAAGCUUA